GAAAAAACCAUGCCAUAUGGAGAGGUUAUAUGGGGGGAACCAAGGCGUACUGGUUAAACAACCCAGAUUAGCUCCCAGCCUAUGCCAGGACCAACCAUCAGCCAUGUGAAUGAAACAUCUUGGACGGUCCGGCCCAGCCAAGUCCCAAAUGAAUGCAACUCUAGGCAUCAUCACAUGCUCAGUAGAUUUUAGCCCAUAGAUGUGUAAGGCAUAAUAAAAUGAUUGUGGUUUCAAGCCACUAAGUUUUGGGUUGUUAUAGCAACAUGAAACCAAAACACCAUUCAUGAAACUCCUGGACAGGGAACAAGCACAUCAUGGUUGUCUUGGGGACUGGCAACAACAAGAUUAACUGGGCCAUGGAGGACAAGCAGGAGAUGGUCGACAUCAUAGAGACCGUGGACUGUAGGGCCCUCAAUGGUGGCGACCUGGUCUUGUCCCCAAAAACUACUCCACCAAGUCCAGAUACUGAAGUGCCCUCAGGCUGUGUGGAUAAAUGUUGUGGAGGCCUUUUCAUGUAGAAACCUUUUAAACUAUUUCAAGCCUUUGGAAAAGUACAUGAAGCUCCAGGGCUGGAGGACUUCUGAGAUACAAUUUACUACAUGGCCUUAACUAGCUGAAAUAAACAAACACAUGAAGAAAAAUAAUAACACUGAUGUUAACUGAAU
This 665-nucleotide long non-coding RNA is filed under the name Pan troglodytes (chimpanzee). RNAcentral describes it as "long non-coding RNA NONPTRT010852". Lineage: Eukaryota; Metazoa; Chordata; Mammalia; Primates; Hominidae. The record is from RNAcentral.